AACGAACGCUGGCGGCAGGCUUAACACAUGCAAGUCGAACGCAUCGCAAGAUGAGUGGCAGACGGGUGAGUAACGCGUGGGAAUCUACCGUGCCCUGCGGAAUAGCUCCGGGAAACUGGAAUUAAUACCGCAUACGCCCUACGGGGGAAAGAUUUAUCGGGGUAUGAUGAGCCCGCGUUGGAUUAGCUAGUUGGUGGGGUAAAGGCCUACCAAGGCGACGAUCCAUAGCUGGUCUGAGAGGAUGAUCAGCCACAUUGGGACUGAGACACGGCCCAAACUCCUACGGGAGGCAGCAGUGGGGAAUAUUGGACAAUGGGCGCAAGCCUGAUCCAGCCAUGCCGCGUGAGUGAUGAAGGCCCUAGGGUUGUAAAGCUCUUUCACCGGUGAAGAUAAUGACGGUAACCGGAGAAGAAGCCCCGGCUAACUUCGUGCCAGCCGCCGCGGUAA
RNAcentral lists this ribosomal RNA (447 nucleotides) under uncultured bacterium. Its description in RNAcentral is "partial 16S ribosomal RNA". It matches the Rfam family "Bacterial small subunit ribosomal RNA", at positions 29 to 523 of the family's 1533-position model. The record is from RNAcentral.